CUGUUGAAUCUGCUGAGGAUUCUCAGAAUCAGGCAACUUCCUACGAUGAUUCCCCUUGUUGCAAUGGCAGGUCUGAAGAUUCCACUAACAGCAGGAAGAAACUUGCUUCUAAGGAAAAGAGAGGAUGUUACAAGAGAAGGUAACUAAAACACACACACCACAUGUUAAUUGGAUGUUCAUACAUAGAUUCUGAUGUUAAUGGGAUGUUUUUGCUUGCAGGAGAGAUGAACAUGCAUGGACAGUAGUUUCUUCAACCGUGGAAGAUGGUCAUGCAUGGAGAAAAUAUGGACAAAAGCAGAUCCUUAAUUCUAAGCACCCAAGGUAUAUUAUUCAUUUUGCAAUUUAUCCCAAAAAAAAUCUUAAAGCCACUAUGGCAAGUGCUUAAGUGCUUCAAUUAUCAUGAAUAGGAGUUACUUUAGGUGCCCUCGCAAGUACGAUCAAGGUUGUAGGGCCACUAAACAAGUCCAAAGACUGGAAGAUGAUGGCUCCCAAAUGUUUCAGACCACUUACAUUGGAACCCAUACCUGCAGACCAGACUCAUUCAAGGCUCCCCAAAUCAUCAUAGAUUCUGAACCUCGGGAAUCUUACAGCAAGUUCAGUUAUGGCAGCAGCAACCCCAAAAUGCCAACCAAAAAGCUGCACGAAAUCACUCCACCUGUAAAGCAGGAAACCAAAGAAGAAACACCAACAACAAGUGGUCUUACAGACAUGGAUUCUGUUGUGAUGUGGAAAGACAUGAUAGGUGCUGAAUACGGGGAUGUGGCCUCUAACGUGUAUACGAGCACUGAAAUCACUUCCCAGAAUUUGGAACUGGACCUUGUAAUUAAGCCUGUAGAGUUCGAAGACGAUUUUCAGUUUGAUGAAAGUGAGUUCGUCUAGUCAUCAUCAUAUUAACUGUAUCUACGAUAGUUUGUAAUCAGUAAUGUGGAAUAAUAAUAAUAACCAUUGAAACCUUCUCUAGGUGUGCAAAUCUGUUUUCCUUCGAAUUAUAGGAGGUACUUGCUGGACAUCAUCGUAUUGUCCACCGUAAUCAAUGCAUUCGUGGAAUUUUUCUCGAUUUAUUAAUGUGAAGCAAUAAUGUCAUGG
Molecule: long non-coding RNA, 1086 nt
Filed under: Gossypium barbadense (sea-island cotton)
Lineage: Eukaryota; Viridiplantae; Streptophyta; Magnoliopsida; Malvales; Malvaceae
Description: long non-coding RNA (GBAR_LNC004090)
Source: RNAcentral